RNAcentral lists this unclassified non-coding RNA (356 nucleotides) under Hevea brasiliensis (rubber tree). Lineage: Eukaryota; Viridiplantae; Streptophyta; Magnoliopsida; Malpighiales; Euphorbiaceae. The record is from RNAcentral.
CCCUCAAAACCUCUACCAGGUGGUCUGCCACCAACCCUUCCUCGAGCAUAAGGGGGUGAAGAAUCUCGAAAUCUACCAGGAUCUCUCCCGCCACCAAAUCCACGACCUCGAGGUAGACCCCCUGAAUGAUCAAAAUCAGAACUGUACCGGUGAUCUGCAUCCCUAUGACGUGCAGGCGAACCAGAACCUGCAUGUAUUCUAUAUCCAGGAUCAUCAGCGUAUCGAUCAGGACGAGAAUAGGGGGGAUGCUCACGGCGGACCUCGCCGGGCUCGUAGUCGCUGCCACCAGCGCGGCCUCCCCCGCCACCAUCUCCGCCAUCGCUGACAGAAGGGCGUACGACGAGGCUGCUAAGGAG